Cricetulus griseus (Chinese hamster) is the source of this 1260-nucleotide non-coding RNA. The record is from RefSeq and is a predicted model, not a curated record. Lineage: Eukaryota; Metazoa; Chordata; Mammalia; Rodentia; Cricetidae.
GAUUCAUCUGUCUCUCCCUCCUCCCUGUUUGUAUGAAAGAAGCAGGGCAAUUUAAUUGGGAAGAGACGAUGAAACAUAGUUUAACCAUCUCUCUGCUGCUGUUGUUUAAGUAGCAGACAGCACUGCCUAAUGCUGCCUGGUGGCUGAGCAAAUUUCUCCCUGCUUUUGCUGAUAUUGAAAUGAUAUGCCAGACAAUCUCCAGUCUUUUCAGGUUUUUCAAGGUUGGGACACUGGGUUGCCUGGUUUCCCCUUGACUGACCCUGCAUGCCCGGGCAGGUGUGUUCAAAGUGUAUGGCCCAGGUACGAGGGCUUCAGUGAAGAACGUAGCUGAGAUGAGCCAGCCACAAAGACAAAAGUUAUAAAACAGAGGAAUUUGUUAGAGUGGAGCCUGCUGCUACAACCAGACCUUGAAAUGAAGAUUCAUGCCAUACUCUGGAACAUUCUUCUGUUGGCACCUCUUUCAGAAGAGAGCUGUUUGACCAACCCAUCUGGAAUGUCUGUUGUGGAUUGCUGCCCCAUCUUCUUCCCCUGUUAGGUCCCUUGCUUGGCUUAUUGAUUUCUCUAUUGCUUGCACCUUUUCUCAAUAAUAAAUCGAUGGCUUUCAUCAAGAAUCAGGUAUAUGCUAUCAAAAUAGAGCCUAUAUAGAUGCACUGCCAUUACCUUGACUUGGCCAAAAUGGGAGAUGACUAUAAUGAACUCUAUUUACAGAACAUAAGAUCUGUGUAUUUGAAAAAUCAUUGGGUUCAAUCUUUCCUUGGUGAGUUGGGCUGGAUAGCCAACAAUGGGCAAGAGAGGGAGGGUUUAGUGUGUCUGACCCUGAAGCCCCCUAAGAAAGGAAUCAUCAUCAUGCAACAUCAACUCCAGAAAAGGGUAAGGCUAUCAUACACUCUUCAGCCCAUUGAUUCCACUGACCUAAGCCUGGCACAGUCCCCUUAAGGACAUCCCCUACCUAUGGCCUUCUUACAUAUUAUAUAAAAAUAAAGGGAGACAUGUAGAGGACUCUGAAAGAAGAUAGCAUAAUAAUGUCAUCUAUGCCUUCUAUUACUUUUUUAACACUCAGUUAAGUUUCUGUUGCUUUGCAUCUGUCAAUUUUCUUGUAAAGCAUAUGCCCAUGUCUGUAGUCAAGACAGCUCCAGCCCCAGACUUAUCUCCUUGCAACACAUCAUGCCUAGAAGGACAAUAGUCUCCCCCACACCCUGACCCUUUUACCCUACUUAAAUCAUAUUGACCUGUCUAAUAAACUGAGACUUGAUCAGAGUA